UCCGUAGGCGGAUCCGUAAGUCAGUGGUGAAAUCUCAUAGCUUAACUAUGAAACUGCCAUUGAUACUGCGGGUCUUGAGUAAGGUAGAAGUAGCUGGAAUAAGUAGUGUAGCGGUGAAAUGCAUAGAUAUUACUUAGAACACCAAUUGCGAAGGCAGGUUACUAUGUCUUAACUGACGCUCAUAUGCGAAAGCGUGGGGAUCAAACAGGAUUAGAUACCCCUGUA
RNAcentral lists this ribosomal RNA (225 nucleotides) under uncultured Chryseobacterium sp. RNAcentral describes it as "partial 16S ribosomal RNA". It matches the Rfam family "Bacterial small subunit ribosomal RNA", at positions 568 to 792 of the family's 1533-position model. The record is from RNAcentral. Lineage: Bacteria; Pseudomonadati; Bacteroidota; Flavobacteriia; Flavobacteriales; Weeksellaceae.